AAUCAACGCUGGCGGCGUGCCUCAGACAUGCAAGUCGAACGCGAAAGUCCCCUUCGGGGGGACAAGUAGAGUGGCGCACGGGUGAGUAACACGUAGGUAAUCUACCUUCGGAUGGGGAAUAACAACCGGAAACGGUUGCUAAUACCGCAUAAUGCAGCGGCACCUAAUGGUGACAGUUGUUAAAGCGGGGGAUCGAAAGACCUCGCGUCUGAAGAGGAGCCUGCGGCGGAUUAGCUAGUGGUAAGGUAAUGGCUUACCAAGGCGACGAUCCGUAGCCGGCCUGAGAGGGGCGGUCGGCCACACUGACACUGACAUACGGGUCAGACUCCUACGGGAGGCAGCAGUCGGGAAUUUUGGGCAAUGGGCGAAAGCCUGACCCAGCAACGCCGCGUGAAGGAU
Molecule: ribosomal RNA, 399 nt
Filed under: uncultured bacterium
Lineage: Bacteria
Description: bacterial SSU rRNA
Rfam family: Bacterial small subunit ribosomal RNA
Source: RNAcentral